CGUGCUUAACACAUGCAAGUCGAACGGUGAACACGGAGCUUGCUCUGUGGGAUCAGUGGCGAACGGGUGAGUAACACGUGAGCAACCUGCCCCUGACUCUGGGAUAAGCGCUGGAAACGGCGUCUAAUACCGGAUAUGUGACGUGACCGCAUGGUCUGCGUCUGGAAAGAAUUUCGGUUGGGGAUGGGCUCGCGGCCUAUCAGCUUGUUGGUGAGGUAAUGGCUCACCAAGGCGUCGACGGGUAGCCGGCCUGAGAGGGUGACCGGCCACACUGGGACUGAGACACGGCCCAGACUCCUACGGGAGGCAGCAGUGGGGAAUAUUGCACAAUGGGCGCAAGCCUGAUGCAGCAACGCCGCGUGAGGGAUGACGGCCUUCGGGUUGUAAACCUCUUUUAGCAGGGAAGAAGCGAAAGUGACGGUACCUGCAGAAAAAGCGCCGGCUAACUACGUGCCAGCAGCCGCGGUAAUACGUAGGGCGCAAGCGUUAUCCGGAAUUAUUGGGCGUAAAGAGCUCGUAGGCGGUUUGUCGCGUCUGCUGUGAAAUCCGGAGGCUCAACCUCCGGCCUGCAGUGGGUACGGGCAGACUAGAGUGCGGUAGGGGAGAUUGGAAUUCCUGGUGUAGCGGUGGAAUGCGCAGAUAUCAGGAGGAACACCGAUGGCGAAGGCAGAUCUCUGGGCCGUAACUGACGCUGAGGAGCGAAAGGGUGGGGAGCAAACAGGCUUAGAUACCCUGGUAGUCCACCCCGUAAACGUUGGGAACUAGUUGUG
RNAcentral lists this ribosomal RNA (770 nucleotides) under Microbacterium maritypicum. RNAcentral's name for it is "bacterial SSU rRNA". It matches the Rfam family "Bacterial small subunit ribosomal RNA", at positions 43 to 824 of the family's 1533-position model. The record is from RNAcentral. Lineage: Bacteria; Bacillati; Actinomycetota; Actinomycetes; Micrococcales; Microbacteriaceae.